Molecule: long non-coding RNA, 370 nt
Filed under: Glycine max (soybean)
Lineage: Eukaryota; Viridiplantae; Streptophyta; Magnoliopsida; Fabales; Fabaceae
Description: long non-coding RNA (GMAX_LNC004097)
Source: RNAcentral
UGGAAUAUAUGUUUCGGUACAAUCAAACACCGUGGAUGGAUCGAUUGCAAACUGAACCACAGAUCUUAGGUCAUCCCAAUUCUCAUUGGCAAAUGCGUGGUCCUCAACAUUAUUCUGGUUCCAAAAAUUUGGGUAAGGGGUGGUUGAUGGGGCCUGAAGAUGGGAUAGUGGGCCAAAUUGGCCCAAAAACAAGUGUUUCUUUUCAUCAACUUGUCCAAUAACUGGUUUUCUUUCUAUUUGUUGCAUCAUCAUAGGGUCUCUGCAAAUCAAAUAUGGCUUGCAGCAAUUGUCAGAAUCUAAGGUGGAUGCGUUGGAAUUCACAGGGUUUGGUUUGGUGGCUGGUGUUGAGUCUUUCAAGUUUGGAGCGUAC